GGGUUCGAUUCCGGAGAGGGAGCCUGAGAAACGGCUACCACAUCCAAGGAAGGCAGCAGGCGCGCAAAUUACCCAAUCCCAAUACGGGGAGGUAGUGACAAUAAAUAACAAUAUGGGGCUCUUACGGGUCUCGUAAUUGGAAUGAGUACAAUUUAAAUCUCUUAACGAGGAACAAUUGGAGGGCAAGUCUGGUGCCAGCAGCCGCGGUAAUUCCAGCUCCAAUAGCGUAUAUUAAAGUUGUUGCAGUUAAAAAGCUCGUAGUUGAAUUUCGGAGUUUGUCGGUUGGUCGGGCUUCACUGUCCGCACUGGCCUGAUGGAUUCCUACCUUCUGAAUAACCAGCAUGCUAUUAAGUUAGUGCGUUGGGGAAGCAGGGCUAUUACCUUGAAAAAAUUAGAGUGCUUAAAGCAGGCUUUUGCUUGAAUAGAUUAGCAUGGAAUAAUAAAAUAGGACGGCAUGGUUCUAUUUUGUUGGUUUCUAGGAUCACCGUAAUGAUUAAUAGGGAUAGUUGGNGGCAUUAGUAUUCAAUUGUCAGAGGUG
This 538-nucleotide ribosomal RNA is filed under the name uncultured Glomeromycotina. Its description in RNAcentral is "SSU rRNA". It matches the Rfam family "Eukaryotic small subunit ribosomal RNA", at positions 373 to 913 of the family's 1831-position model. The record is from RNAcentral. Lineage: Eukaryota; Fungi; Glomeromycota.